This is a ribosomal RNA of Psammomys obesus (fat sand rat), 122 nucleotides long. Lineage: Eukaryota; Metazoa; Chordata; Mammalia; Rodentia; Muridae. The record is from RefSeq and is a predicted model, not a curated record.
GUCUACGGCCAUACUACCCUGAACGCGCCCGAUCUCGUCUGAUCUCGGAAGCUAAGCAUGGUUAGGCCUGGUUAGUACUUGGAUGGGAGACCACCUGGGAAUAUCAGUGCUUGCUGUAGGCU